Molecule: ribosomal RNA, 720 nt
Filed under: Triticum aestivum (bread wheat)
Lineage: Eukaryota; Viridiplantae; Streptophyta; Magnoliopsida; Poales; Poaceae
Description: partial small subunit ribosomal RNA
Source: RNAcentral
AUGGCGGCAGCGGCGGCAACCUCCGUGCGGGGGUGCGGCCCGGCGUCGGCGUCGUCGGUGGGGCUCUCGCCGCGUCGGGCGGUGCAGCGGUCGUCCUUCCUGCCGCCCCUGCCGCGGCGGGCGUCGUCGGCGCGCGCGCUGCGGGCGGCGGUCGCGGACGCCCCGCACCGGGGGCUGGAGCUCCGGCGGGAGGCGCGGGACGAGGCGGGGCUGCUGGAGGCCGUGAUCGGGGGCGACGGCGGGGACGAGGUGGAGGAGGCGGUCGGGGAGGAGCGGGUGGAGGGGUGGAUGCGGGAGUCGAUCGCGGAAAUCGUGCGGCACGUCGGGGAGGCGCCGUUCCUGGUGCACCUGUUCAGCGACGGGCGGGAGGGCGUCACGGUGCGGCGCGAGCCGGCGUCGGUGGAGGCCUGGCCCGACGUGCGCCGCCGCUGGGGGCCUGGCGGCCAGCGCCGGCCCGACGGCAUCAUCCUGGUCGAGCAGGUGGCCGCCGCGGCGGUGGAGGACGGCGCCGAGGCGGCGCGCCAGGUGUGGGGCCUGGUGGUCCAGGCCCGCGGGAUGGAGUGCGCCGCCUGCUACGUCCUCGACACCUGCCGCGUCCGCUCGCCCGCCGGCUUCUGCACCCACUUCUGCCUCGCCCGCGCGCAGUGCUUCGGCGAGCCCCUCGAGCUCCAGCUCCGCAACGCCUGGCUCAACCGCCUCUCCGGCCACCACCGACGAUAG